UACCAGACUCCUACGGGAGGCAGCAGUGGGGGAUAUUGCACAAUGGAGGGAACUCUGAUGCAGCGACGCCGCGUGAGGGAAGAAGGUUUUCGGAUUGUAAACCUCUGUCUUCGGUGACGAAACGAGACGGUAGCCGAGGAGGAAGCCACGGCUAACUACGUGCCAGCAGCCGCGGUAAUACGUAGGUGGCAAGCGUUGUCCGGAAUUACUGGGUGUAAAGGGAGCGUAGGCGGGAAAGCAAGUUGGGUGUCAAAUCUACCGGCUCAACCGGUAGCCGCACUCAAAACUGCAGUUCUUGAGUGAAGUAGAGGCAGGCGGAAUUCCUAGUGUAGCGGUGAAAUGCGUAGAUAUUAGGAGGAACACCAGUGGCGAAGGCGGCCUGCUGGACUGCAACUGACGUUGAGGCUCGAAGGCGUGGGGAGCAAACAGGAUUAGAUACCCGUGUAGA
This 448-nucleotide ribosomal RNA is filed under the name uncultured bacterium. RNAcentral describes it as "bacterial SSU rRNA". It matches the Rfam family "Bacterial small subunit ribosomal RNA", at positions 329 to 794 of the family's 1533-position model. The record is from RNAcentral.